RNAcentral lists this long non-coding RNA (219 nucleotides) under Eucalyptus grandis. RNAcentral describes it as "long non-coding RNA (EGRA_LNC006712)". The record is from RNAcentral. Lineage: Eukaryota; Viridiplantae; Streptophyta; Magnoliopsida; Myrtales; Myrtaceae.
GGAUGGAUCGAGUGAUUGGAUAUGACCGUGAGGAGGAGGAUAGCAAAGGAAGGAGCUUUUGGACGCCGACACUAAUCGAUGAACUCUAAAGUAUACGACUGUUGGAGAAGAUGUCGAUCAUCUUUGGAAGUAUAGCCGAGUAUAGAAGACUACGGCAUUUUGAUGUACCGAUGAACGAUGUCCAUCUGGUUUAUGUAAAUAACAGUGUUCGGCUUUAAC